RNAcentral lists this ribosomal RNA (250 nucleotides) under uncultured Stenotrophomonas sp. Its description in RNAcentral is "partial 16S ribosomal RNA". It matches the Rfam family "Bacterial small subunit ribosomal RNA", at positions 103 to 355 of the family's 1533-position model. The record is from RNAcentral. Lineage: Bacteria; Pseudomonadati; Pseudomonadota; Gammaproteobacteria; Lysobacterales; Lysobacteraceae.
CGGGUGAGGAAUACAUCGGAAUCUACUCUGUCGUGGGGGAUAACGUAGGGAAACUUACGCUAAUACCGCAUACGACCUACGGGUGAAAGCAGGGGAUCUUCGGACCUUGCGCGAUUGAAUGAGCCGAUGUCGGAUUAGCUAGUUGGCGGGGUAAAGGCCCACCAAGGCGACGAUCCGUAGCUGGUCUGAGAGGAUGAUCAGCCACACUGGAACUGAGACACGGUCCAGACUCCUACGGGAGGCAGCAGCC